UUCAGGAGGUCCCCAAAUGAUGCGCAGCAUCAUUUUUGCAUGGGACCGACGACCUGCCGCCGAAGCUUUGGCUGAGGGGGCGACACUUAAG
RNAcentral lists this small RNA (91 nucleotides) under unclassified sequences. RNAcentral describes it as "GA-cis RNA". It matches the Rfam family "GA-cis RNA". The record is from Rfam by way of RNAcentral.